This is a long non-coding RNA of Solenopsis invicta (red fire ant), 6810 nucleotides long. RefSeq lists it as uncharacterized. Lineage: Eukaryota; Metazoa; Arthropoda; Insecta; Hymenoptera; Formicidae. The transcript has 2 exons. The record is from RefSeq and is a predicted model, not a curated record.
CCGCGCAUAAAAAAUUUGUUUUUUUACAAGUUAUAAUUAACAAUAAAUUCUGAAACGUAUUUAUUUUAAUAGUAAGAUUUCUGAUUAUUUUAGUAUAUAAUACAUGCAAGCAUCAAAUUAUUUAGAGAUCAGGUAACGGAUGACAUAAUGCGGCGGGCGCGUUCCACACAUAAUGAUAUUUGUGAAACAAUUUUAUAUUUUGUAUUUUUUUGGCUUCAUGUAAGAGCAAUAAAUUAGCACAAAAUUCUAGCGUACUCGUUUUUGUCUGGGGCUACUGUACUUAUUUUUGUAACUAUUAGGUGGUCAAGCUUGCCAUUAAAUUGCACCUUCCUUUUUUUUAAUUGUUGCUAAACGGUUUGAACAAAAAAGUCCGGACUAGGGUAACAAAUUAGCACAUAAAUAGCACUACAUUUUUGACAAAGUAUGGACUCAAUUUUUGCUGGUGAGAGGUCCAGCUUAAUAGAAGUCAGAUAAGACAGUUUGUAACAGUAAAAAGCAGACAUUGUUUUUAGCAAAACAACUGGAGCAAAAAAUUCCAAACAGAGCAAAAAAUUAGUACAAUUUAGCACUACAAGAAUCAAUAUUUGUUUUUUAAUCUCUUUUAUUUUUUGCUAAUGGCUGUGCUAACUUUAACUUAAGCUAGCACAGCCAUUGUUUUUAGCAAAGCGAUUGGAGCAAAUAAAUUCUAAAUACAGCAAAAAAUUAGCAAAAAAUAGCAAGAUAAACCUGUAUAAGUCUCAUUUGAGUGCGCUGAAAUGGCUGUGCCAGCUUAAUAGACGUUAAAAAAUCUUUAGACAAAGGAAACAGAACUAGUACAAUAAAUAAAAUUGUAAUAAUUAAUUAAUUUGAUAGUGCAUUAGUAUUUCACUAUUAAUCUCCUGAUACAUGUAACAAUUAUUAUGUGUAUAACUGUCAAUGCAAUUAAGUAUAACUAUCAAUGCGAUUUCCGCGAUGACAACAACUCACGAAGUAAGCACAGCGCGAGAACUAAUCAGCAUUUCGAAAAAGCGUUAACAAUAAAUUUCGAGAGAUGCGACUAUCAAUUUAAUAUGGAUUUUUUCAGAUAGGAUACUCGUUAGACACAUUUUUCUCAUAUAUGUAUGAUGUAUAUUUGUUUCGUGCAUUUCUGAUAAACAUAUAUUAAACUUUUACGAGGUAUUAUGUUUACAGUAAACAAAUUAGGAAUAUAGUUUCAAAAAAAUAUAUUAACGAUGAAAUCAGCAAUCAGUAUACGAAACUUGGUCUAUUAAAUGAAAAAAUAAUAUAUCGGGAUUACAUAAUAUGUUUAAAAAAACAUCAAUUUGUUAUAGAAUUUUUUAAUACAUUGGAGUCAACAUAUCAAGAGUUCUCAAUACUUUUUUUAGUUUUACAUGUCGGACUUAUAAGUUUACUUGGAUUGCAAGUAAGCAUUAAAAAAACUAUUCACGUGUUUGUUCAUAAAAAUUGUACUACAGCUAGAUUUUCCCAUCGUUUAAUUUCUAAGGCCUAAUUAGUUGUUUCUUAUAUAUGACUUUUUAUAUAUAGGUUCUAACAAUUCACAUUUUAAUUUUAAAUAAAUUAAGCUGGCUACGUCUUGAUGUGUAUGAAAAAUACUAAGAUUAAAGUUGUUAAAGUUUCUUUGUACUUGUUCUUCAUGAGUUGCGAUACGCAUGUUUCACUGUUGUGCGCCCUUUGUUGUCCUGACUCGCGGCCGUCUCGCGAGUCUACCGGUCUAGUAAUUAUUUCGUUUUUACUAUUCUGUAAGCUAUUGUACAGACCAUAGCAUUAAUGCCUGACCAUAGCAUUAAUACCGAUUUUAGGGACCUUCUUUCUUGGUUAUUUUUACGUUCAUGACCGAAUGCCGCGCAAAAAACAUAUACGCGGUCAUGAAUGUAAAAAUAACCAAGAAAGAAACAUGGUCCCAAAAAUCGGUGAUCCAGGCAUUAAUGCUACAGUCUGUAUACCCACCGUGUUUAAUUCCGUCCCUUGGGAAAUUUUCCAAACUAAGAAGUCACCACUUUCUACAUACUUGCAGUUCAUAAUUAAUGAAACGACUAGAGCUUAUUGGCCGUUACGUUAAUCAUGAACUGUAAGUAUGUAGAAAGAUAGCGACUUCUCAGUUUGAAAAAUUUCCCCAUGGACAGAAUCAAAGUCCUUGGGUGUACGUGUCGUCUCUCUGAGCGGAAAUAAAAUUACCGUACUUUGUGUUAUAUCACUCCGUGCGGGCGGAUACCGAUAGCACACGGGACCGAUAGCACACCCAGAUAACAAUUCGUGAGAUUACUCUCAUGGCGUAAUAAUUACGCUGUGCGUGCAAAAGUGCAUCACAGUGCACUCAUCAUAGUGAGCGCAUACGUGUACGCGUAAAAAAUCGCAUGGUGCAAUCACGCGUGAUGGAAAUAUUUGACGACGUGAGGACAUUUGUAACGUGAUAAUCCUGCCGUGCGCACAAGAACGUAUCACGCUGCUCUCACAAUGUGAUGAGGGCACGCGUAACUGUGAUAAAAAAUUUUUUCAUAAUUUAAAAAAAAAUGUCUUAUAAUUUAUUUAAAAAUAUAAUGUAAUUUCUCAAAUAAUAUACCAUAUAUAUUUACUUAUAAAAGGACUUCCGUUUCCGAAGCGAGCGAAAGUAGACGGGUGCGAUUUGAAGGUUUUUGUUUAGAGGCAAAGAGUGAGUGCGGAGAGUGGAAAAGUGUGUAGAGAGCGUGGGAGAAGAGUGAGAAUGGCAUGGAGCGGAGGUGAAGAUAGAAGAAGUGAGGGAAGUGAGAACAGGGUGGGAGGAGCAGGGCGGGAGGUUUGCCGUCGUGAGUUUCAGGACAGAAAGGGAGAAAGGGAGGUAAUAAAAGGAAGAGUGGGUUAAGAAAUGACAGGGUUUAAAUAGAGGAUGAUUUAACGUGGAGGGAAAGGCAAGUGAGGUUAAGGAUUAGGGAGAUGGCCAAGGAGGAAAGAAAAUGGGCAAAAGUGUGGGUAGGAAAAAACAAGAUAAUGAUUAACGGGAUAUGGUGAGUUUGGGAUGAGGAAAAGGGAGAACUGAAGGAUAGACGGGAAAGAAAAUCGGAGGCGAAAGGGAGAAUGGGAAGGAAAUCGGGGAAAGGGGAAAGGAAGGGCUAGAGGAGAAGGAGAUAAAGGAAAAAGAGGAUGGGACGGUGGGAGGAGAAAAUAGGAGAGUAAGGAAUUGUCAGUGGAAAGAGGGGGAAAGCAAAGAGGUAAAGAUAGCCUUUUGGAACAUGGCAGGACUAGGGAAUAAAGAUGGAGGCUUCUGGAAAGAGAUUAAAGGAGUGGAAUGUGGUGGUGAUGUCGGAGACGUGGGUGGAGAAAAAAGUAUGGGAAAGAUUAAGAGAAAAGAUGACGAGAGGGUUCAUUUAGAAGUGCAGAUGGCAAGCUGGAAAAAUAGGAAAGGUAGAGAGCGAUAAGAGGAAUGGUAAUAGGAGUGAAAAAUGGGAUAGAAGUAGUAGAGGAAGGGGAAGAAAGAGCGGUAGAGGGGAUAAUAAGAAAGGUGAUUAAAAUUGGAGAGGAAAAGUGAAGAAUUGUGGGGGUGUAUGCGAAUGGAGAUAUAAGAGAAGUGGGAGGGAAUUAGGGAAUGGCUAGAGGACAAGGGAUUGGGGAUAAGGACAAUAGUGGGGGGGGAUUUUUAUGCAAGGACAGGGGAGAGAGGUGAGAAAGGAAAUAGAAAGAAAGGAGGAAAGAGGAAGGAGGUCGAAGGAUAAGAAAGUAAACAGGAAAGGCAAAUAUUUAUUGGAAGCGUUGAAGGAAGUAGGAUGGUUUAUUUUUAAUGAGGGUGGAAAGGGGAUGAGGAGGGGGAGUGGACAUACGCGGGGGUAGAGGGGAGUCUGUUUUGGAUUACGUGAUUGGGGAUGAAAAGGUAUGGAAAAAGGUGAGUAGAAUAAGAGUGGAAGAUAAGAUAAAUUCAGCUAACUUUCCGGUGGUAAUAUGGAUUACAGGAGAGGAGGGAAGGGAGAAGAGAGGGAGAGAGGGGUAAAGUGUGUGUGGUCGCAGGAGGGGAAAAGAUUUUUUAGGGAGAAGUUGGAGAAGAAAUGGGAGGAGAAGGGGGGAUAGGAGAGUGGGAUGGGAGGAAGUCAGAGACGAUAUACUGAGGGUUAUGAGGGAAGAGCAGAGUAAGUAGGGAGUAAGGGAAAGGAGGGGAUGGCGGGAUGAGAAGUGCAGGAAGAGCAAGAAGAGGGUGAGGAGCAAAUGGAGGAGAACGGCAGGUGGGGAGGGGAGGUACAGAAAGGUGAAAAGGGAGUAUAAUAAAAGGUGUGAGGAGAAAAAAAAGGAAGAGAAUGAAAGAUGGGUGGAGAAGGAAAGCAAGGCGAAGGCAGAAGGGCAGUUAUGGGAAGUGGUAAGAAAGAAAAGAAAGAGAAGAAGAGGAGUCAGCAGAAAGAUAAAGGAGAAGGAGUGGGUGGAAUACUUUAAGGGGAUAUUAGGAGGGGUGGAAAAGGGUGUUUAGGGGGAUAAGGGGAAAUAAAAACGGAAACGAGGAGGAAGAUAUCACAAGAGAGGAGGUGAGAAGGGCGAUGGGAAGGAUAAGGGAGGGAAAAGCGGCGAGGGGGGGAUGGGAUAUCUGAAGAGGUUUGGAAACAUGGGGUGGAGAAGUUAGAGGAAUAGGUUUGGGAAAUUUGUAACAGGAUAUAAAAAGGAGAGGACUGGAUAGAAGAGUGGAGCAAAGUAAUAGUGGUGCCAAUUAUGAAGUAAGGGGAUGGAGAAAAAGUGGAGGAAUAUAGAAAGGUCACACUAAUGCCAACCCUGUAUAAGGCGUACCCAAUGAUUCUGGAGGAGAAAUUGAAAGGGAAAUAAAGGAAAGAGACAAUAUUUCUCAGAAUUAGACGGGUUUUAAGAAAGGGAUGGGGAUGAUUAACAACAUUUAUGUAUUAAAUUACCUGGUCAAGAGGCAAAUAAACAAAGAAAAGGGCAAAUUAAUAGUAUUUUUUGUGGACUUGAGGGCGGCUUUCGAUUCAAUAGAUAGGGAAGUAUUGGGAAAGGUAAUAAGAGAAAGAGGGAGGGAUUGGUUAGGAGAUGUGAUGAUCUGUUAAGGUAGACUAGAAAUAGGGUAAGGGUAGGAGGGGUUGAGUGUGGUAGGAGAGGUGGGUUUAGACGAGGAGGGGGUUAAGACAGGGAUGUCCGUUAAGCCCGGGUAUAUUCAAUUUAUUGACGGCAGAUUUAGAGGACUACAAGAAGAGAAGAGGGUGGGGAGGGGUGAAGCUGAAGAGCAAAAGGUUUACACCUUUGCGUAUGCAAAUGAAAUAGUGUUAUUGGUGGAAAAAGACAGGAUGAGAACAAUGAUGAGUAGAUUGGAAAGGUACAUGAGAGAAAAAAGAUUGAAAGUAAAUGAAAAAAAAAUAGUAAUGAGGUUUGGGAAAGGGGGGAAGGAAGGAAGGUAAGAUAGCGAUGGGAAGGUAAAGAGGUGGAGAAAGUUAAUAAGUUUAAAUAUCUAGGCUAUGUUUUUCAAAGAAAUGGGAAGCAAGAAGUGCAGGUAAGAAAUAGAGUGAAAAGGGGGAUGACGGUAAUGGGAUAGGUAUGGGGGAUGGGGAAAAGGAAGUUUGGAAAAAAAUGGGGAAAGAGGAUCUGGCUAUUUGACGCGUUGAUAUGAACUGUGAUGGCGUAUAGGGUUAAGGUUUUAGGAUGGAGAGAGGGAGAGAGAGAGAGAGAAUGGAAAGGAUGCAGGAAAGAUAUCUGAGAUGGUUGAUGGGGAUAAGUUGCAGGACACCGGGCUACAUGAUUAGGGAAGAACUACAAAGAGACAAGUUGAGGGGAAGGGCGGGAAGAAGAACAUAGAGAUUCAAAAAAAGAUUAGCGGAAGGUAGAAGUAGUAAAUUGUCGAGGAGGUGUUGGGAGAAGUUAAGAGAGAGAGAGCAAAAAAGAGGUGAAGAGGGUGUCGGCAUGGGAGAAGGAAAGACAAGUAUUUUUCAAAGAGAGAGGGAGGGAUCUAAGGGAGGUGGAGAGAGUGAGGGAGGAGGAGGGGUUUGAUUUUGGCAAUUUAAAGGAAGGGCACAAGAAAAAACAAAAAAAAGAAAGGUAGGAGAGGAUACGACAGUUUAGGUAUAACAGGUGGUACAAGAGAGUGAAGUGGGAAGGGAUACCGGGAUAUCUGAAGAAAGGAUGGACAGAGAGCAGAUGAGGGAGAAUUGCGAAGUACAGGCUAGAGGGGGGGGGGUCAGGAAAAGGAUGUAUUGGGCCAGAAAAGAGGAGAAGUCAUGUAGAAUGUGUGGGUGAAAAGAGGAAACGUGGAAACACGUGUGAGAGGAUUGUGAAAAAUGGGAAGCGGGGAUGAAUGGGAGGAGAUGGUAUAGGAGGUCUUGGGGGAGGGCGGUAAAGGGGAAGAGUGGGUAAAAAAUUAGAGAAGUUCAGAGAGGGUAGGAUGACAGGAGAAGAGGAUUAUGGGGGAGAGGAGGAUGAGAGAGAGUCAAGGGGAGAGAGAAAGGGAGGAAGGGAGGGAGAGAGAAGAGGGAGAGAGGGAGAGAAAGAGUGGUGUGGGUGGCCGAGGGAGUGAGUGAGAGAGGAGUGGAUAAGUGAAUGGGUGAGUCAGCCUUGAAAAAUGUAAAAAUGUUAAAUAAAGUAUAGAAAAAGAAAGAGGCAACAAAUAACUUGCGACGGAAGCGAAGGUAUGUGUGUGUGUGUGUGUGUGUGUGCAUAGGGCGAGCGUGUUAGUUAGAAUAAGUUAGUUGUAAGGUAGUCAGUAAGAUUAGGUUAAGUGUUACGUUUUUGUGUUUUUGUUUGUAAUAAGAUUGUAACCCCUAAGGGUAUCAAUAAGUAUCUAUCUAUUUAUCUAUUUACUCAUACAAUGAUCACUUUCCCAUAAAAAGGGAUGAAGAAAAUAUAAGUUUUUCUCCCUCA